Molecule: ribosomal RNA, 429 nt
Filed under: Gemmatimonadota bacterium
Lineage: Bacteria; Pseudomonadati; Gemmatimonadota
Description: Gemmatimonadetes bacterium partial 16S ribosomal RNA
Rfam family: Bacterial small subunit ribosomal RNA
Source: RNAcentral
UAGGGAAUCUUCGGCAAUGGACGAAAGUCUGACCGAGCAACGCCGCGUGAGUGAAGAAGGUUUUUGGAUCGUAAAACUCUGUUGUUAGAGAAGAACAAGGACGUUAGUAACUGAACGUCCCCUGACGGUAUCUAACCAGAAAGCCACGGCUAACUACGUGCCAGCAGCCGCGGUAAUACGUAGGUGGCAAGCGUUGUCCGGAUUGAUUGGGCGUAAAGCGCGCGCAGGCGGUUUCUUAAGUCUGUUGUGAAAGCCCCCGGCUCAACCGGGGGUGUUCAUUGGAAACUGGGAGAAUUGAGGGAAGACGAGGGGGGUGGAAUUUCGUGUGUAGCAGAGAAAUACGUAGACAUAUGGAGGAAAACCAGUGGCGAAGGCGGCUCUCUGGUCUGUAACUGACGCUGAGGAUCGAGAGCGUGGGGAGCAAACAGG